CCGAGCACGCCCCGCGUCCCCGCCCCGCAAGGGCAGCGUCCUCGGCGCCGAAGGCCCUCGGGAGAGAAGACGCCCGAGGCCGGCCGGAGGGCUCCGAGAGGAAGGAGAAGCGCCCCGCGGGGCCCGCGGCCCAGGGCGGGAGGGCAGCCGGCGGGGCUCGGCACUGGUUGCGCAGGGACCUGCGCGUGCGCUGCGUGGACAAGCUGCACGAGGGCGGCCGGUAUUACAACACCAAGAUGAAGAUCGAAGAUGUCCCGAGCCCAGAUUCGUGCGUGUGCCGGACAGAUGAAGGACGGGUCCUGGAAGGCCUGAGGGAAGACAUGCUGGAGACCCUGGUGCCUAAGAGGGAAAAAGAGGCAGAGAAGGCAGAGAAGAUGAAUCAAGUGAUGCACAGGAGAAUCUUGGAGGUCUAGUUGUGUGGUUAGGUGUGCAUCCAACCGCCUCGGGCUUCUUGUGUCCACCUGGACCACCAUGGUUCCUUCUGGGGGAGAGAUGAGAGAAUGGUAUCUUCACAUGACAUCUUACGGCACUGAGGUCAGGAAGAGGACAUAACCCUUGACUUAUGCACUCUGACACAUGACAUUAUGCUCAACAUCCCAUUGUACAUUUUAACUCUCCUAACUCUUGAGACUUGUGUCAUUGUAAUAAUUAAC
This 653-nucleotide long non-coding RNA is filed under the name Chinchilla lanigera (long-tailed chinchilla). RNAcentral's name for it is "lncRNA (ENSCLAG00000024147.1)". The record is from RNAcentral. Lineage: Eukaryota; Metazoa; Chordata; Mammalia; Rodentia; Chinchillidae.